CAGUCGCCGCGGUAAUACGUAGGUGGCAAGCGUUGUCCGGAUUUAUUGGGCGUAAAGCGAGCGCAGGCGGUUCCUUAAGUCUGAUGUGAAAGCCCCCGGCUCAACCGGGGAGGGUCAUUGGAAACUGGGGAACUUGAGUGCAGAAGAGGAGAGUGGAAUUCCAUGUGUAGCGGUGAAAUGCGUAGAUAUAUGGAGGAACACCAGUGGCGAAGGCGACUCUCUGGUCUGUAACUGACGCUGAGGCUCGAAAGCGUGGGUAGCAAACAGGAUUAGAUACCCCGGUAGUCCCUGUCUCUUAUAC
This 301-nucleotide ribosomal RNA is filed under the name uncultured bacterium. RNAcentral's name for it is "partial 16S ribosomal RNA". It matches the Rfam family "Bacterial small subunit ribosomal RNA", at positions 509 to 807 of the family's 1533-position model. The record is from RNAcentral.